RNAcentral lists this long non-coding RNA (1615 nucleotides) under Bos indicus x Bos taurus (hybrid cattle). Its description in RNAcentral is "lncRNA (ENSBIXG00005007125.1)". The record is from RNAcentral. Lineage: Eukaryota; Metazoa; Chordata; Mammalia; Artiodactyla; Bovidae.
GUUGGUUUCCACAGAUAUUGUGCUGAGAAAAUUAACAAAAAUGUAAAGCACCGUAACUAACAUAUAGACUUCACUAGCUGUGUGACCUGGGGCAAGUCAUUGAGCCUCUCUGAGCCUUUGCCAAUGAAGAUACUAAUGGUACCUGCCUCAUAGGGUUGUUACAAGGCCUGAAUGAGUGAAUACAGACAAGUAAAAGGCUUCAAACAAGGCUGGUAGGCUUUAAGGACAACAUAUAUAGCAUUGGUUGUUCUAUUUUCAUAGUAAAUGUUCAAUAGCUCCCAGGGGUCCUGGUCACUCUGGACCCAGCUCCUUUUCUCUCUCGCUCUCUCAGUAGAAAAUCUCCCACCACCCCUCAACCCCCUGCCAGGUGAGGAGGACCAGAACCAAGAAACAGGACUGCCUGAGGCCUCAGACCUCCCCCUACUCAAAGUUCAAGGGACCCGGAGCCUGAGAGGCUGGGGCGGGAGGGAGUGAGGAGGCGGUGGCACUGGCAGCUAAAUUUGUUCAUCCGGCCUGUCAGUGCCUUAAUCUGAUCCCCGAGGAACAACGCAGAGGCUUCACUCUGGAUGACAAACGAGGAGGGGAGAGGCCUGCCCUGCCUGGACUCCGGGCCCCAGCCAUGACCGUGUCAGCUAGACGACACCUGGAGCAAGUCCCCACAACCUGUUUUACUCCUGAGCGGGCUUUGUGCCUAGACCUGGGAAUCCUGACUCACUUUGGUAAAGCUAUCGACCUCUCCAAGCCUCAGUUUCCUCAUCUUCAGUUUGGGCAGAUCUUUAGGCUCAGUGGAGCCAAAACAUGUAAGCACUUGAUAAAGCCCGGAGUGGCCUGGUUCAGAGGCUCUGCUCAGAGGACCAGCACAAGCUGGUAUGCGUGUGUGUGUGUGUGUGAGUGUGUGUGUGUGUGUGCGUGCAUGCGCACACACACUAGUUGGGAAGCAGGGAAGGCCUGGGAGCCUCCCAGAGGAGAGAGGCUUAGGCAUGAUGAUGGGGUGAGGGGGAGCCCCAAAUCCCAGGCCCAGGGCCCCAUGUCCCAGGGAGUAGGGGGUCAGGAGCCCAGCUAUCUCCGCUUUCUGCACCCACCUCCUUCCAGCACCACCUUCUCCUGCAGCGCUGCCCUCUGGUCCUACUCAGCCUCAUCUGUGCGGGCUGGUCCUACACUUUGCUCACUCGGGAUUUUACACAUGGGGCCUGCGUCUCUCACGGAGGGCCACCAGGAGGCGCCACACGCCUGCUCGGCCUCCCCGUGGGCCCCCCAGUCCACCCGGCCGGUCGGUCUGGAGGCGGGGCGUCCUCGGGGUCCGGGUGUGCACGGUCUGCGGUUCAGCCCCGGCUCUAGCACGUGGCCCGCGGAGCCGCGCACCCUUUCUCUCUCUUGAACCCCCAUCGGGUGGCGGGCGUCUCAUCCAACCCUCUCUGCGCGAUCCUGCUCCCUCUGCGCCCGCGGGCAUCCGAGGUCCAGGCUUCUGUCACCCCCUAGCCCUACCCGCGAAGUCCUCUGUCAUCCUGCGAGCACAGGACCCAGAGUGCUGUGCUGUGGUCCCCGUUCCCCCAGCUCCUAUCCCUCUCUGAAGGUUGGAUGAAUAAACUGCUCUCAAAGCUGGUUUGUUUGGCCA